AAAAAAAAAAAAAAAAAAAAAACUUAAAGCCGGUCGGACCUUCUGGUCCGAUGGGUCCGACCAUCGGACCCAUCGGACCCGAAGGUCCGACCAUCGGACCCUUUCUUCCUCUCUCUCCAGACUCGCAAAAAAAAAAAAAAAAAAAAAAAAUUCAAAGGUCCGACCAUCGGACCUUUGUCUUCUUCCCUCUCUCAAAUCGCAGGAAAAAAAAAAAAAAAAGUUUCAGAGAAAAUCGCA
Cannabis sativa is the source of this 237-nucleotide long non-coding RNA. RefSeq lists it as uncharacterized. The record is from RefSeq and is a predicted model, not a curated record. Lineage: Eukaryota; Viridiplantae; Streptophyta; Magnoliopsida; Rosales; Cannabaceae. The transcript is spliced from 2 exons.